GGAGCCGAAGAAGGACGUGACAAACGACGAAAUGCCUCGUGGAGCUGUAAGUAAGCGACGAUCCUGGAUGUCCGAAUGGGGGAACCCAACAGGUUGAUGCCUGUUACCCAUUUCUGUUAAGGAAAUGAGGAGGAAGACGCAGUGAACUGAAACAUCUAAGUAGCUGCAGGAAGAGAAAGCAAAAGCGAUUGCCUUAGUAGCGGCGAGCGAAGAGGCAGGAGGGCAAACCGAAGAGUUUACUCUUCGGGGUUGUAGGACUGCAAUGUGGACUCAAAGAUUAUAGAAGAAUGAUUUGGGAAGAUCAGCCAAAGAGAGUAAUAGCCUCGUAUUUAAAAUAGUCUUUGUACCUAGCAGUAUCCUGAGUACGGCGGGACACGAGAAAUCCCGUCGGAAUCUGGGAGGACCAUCUCCCAACCCUAAAUACUCCCUAGUGACCGAUAGUGAACCAGUACCGUGAGGGAAAGGUGAAAAGCACCCCGGGAGGGGAGUGAAAUAGAACCUGAAACCGUGUGCCUACAACAAGUUCGAGCCCGUUAAUGGGUGAGAGCGUGCCUUUUGUAGAAUGAACCGGCGAGUUACGUUAUGAUGCGAGGUUAAGUU
This 600-nucleotide ribosomal RNA is filed under the name Anophryoides haemophila. Its description in RNAcentral is "partial Bacterial large subunit ribosomal RNA". It matches the Rfam family "Bacterial large subunit ribosomal RNA", at positions 42 to 652 of the family's 2925-position model. Lineage: Eukaryota; Ciliophora; Oligohymenophorea; Philasterida; Glauconematidae. The record is from RNAcentral.